UGGGUUGUGGCUCAGUGGUAGAGUGCUUGCCUAGCAUGCAUGGGGCACUGGGUUCAAUGCCCAGCACCACAA
Molecule: non-coding RNA, 72 nt
Organism: Ictidomys tridecemlineatus (thirteen-lined ground squirrel)
Lineage: Eukaryota; Metazoa; Chordata; Mammalia; Rodentia; Sciuridae
Source: Rfam